AUGAUUGCUCACUACUGUUAUUCUGUUAUUUCAUUGGGCUUGUAAGAUGAUGAAUUUCAAUUCUAUAUUUUUGUAUUUUUUAGUGGGAACUACUCUGUAUAAAAGAACUUUCCUUUCGUAGUUUCCAUGAAAACUAUGUGAUGACUUCUGACACACAGAUCAAACCAGAAAGGAAAAGUGCAAGAAGCUGACAUGAAGCUGACCUGUAAUCUGAAACAGACAGAGUUGGUGUCAGCUGGCCUGCAGUCCUGUGAGCAAGAAAUCGAUGUACAUACUCAUGAGUAAAACAAAAACAUUUGCUGUUAUAACCCAGGAAGAUUUGGGAGUGGAUUUUUAUGUGGUGUCAUUGCAGCAAUUGUUGAUGAAUCUCUGCUAAGUUGGAAGUCUCAAAUCUAUCAACCAAUAAAUCGUUUCUCAGGUUUUACUUUAGGGACCAAUUAAAACUGUCAACAUGUUUUCUUCCAUUACAUUGGGAGUUUUAUCUCCAGCUGUUGGGAUCUGAGCUUCUAAAAGUAUGACGUAUGACUACCCGGGGAGAAGGCACUU
This is a long non-coding RNA of Cebus imitator (Panamanian white-faced capuchin), 546 nucleotides long. RefSeq lists it as uncharacterized. The record is from RefSeq and is a predicted model, not a curated record. The transcript is spliced from 3 exons. Lineage: Eukaryota; Metazoa; Chordata; Mammalia; Primates; Cebidae.